UCUUUGCAGACAUGAGGAUGAAAGGAGGUCUGUUUUCGUCUAUGGGAAUAGUUGCUUGCGUUUAUGGAACUUGGAAUGGGGCCAGUAUCGAUAUAUUGUUGGCUGGCUAGCCUUGCUCCGGCCAAACGCUACGGCGGUUAGUUUCUUUCCGCAAUGAAGUAGCUAUUUAACGUUACCUAGUGAACAGAUGAUCGGAAGAAUUGAGUUUUAGUCGUCAGGCAAGACAAAUGGCUAUAACAUUAAGUGGUUGUGCCACUAUUCAGCUCUUCAGACAUGGGAGGGCUGCAAAUGGGAAUAACAUGAUCCCCUUCCAAGCUUGUGGACUGAAUGAAUCGCAUCAACUCUUAAGGAAAGCAUGUUCCAUUCAACUCCAUUGAAGGUGAUUCAACUCUAUUCAAUGCGUUUGAAGACUAAGCAUGGAACUGCUGGGACUGAUUGAUGGUUAAAUGGAAAGGGUAUUGAAGGAAAAAACACUAUGGUGGACUGCUUGCAUUUCAGGAAAAAAAUAUCCAGGAAUACAUGCUGAUUGUUUGACAUUCAAUGGAUUUGAUGCAUAGGUAGACGACAUGGCGAUGCUUGGACUGGGUUGAUGUUUCAUCGAGUCGAUGCAAGACAUGCAGAUUGUAUGGAAUGCGACAACUCCAUUGAAGGAUGCCACAGGAUUGUUUCUUUCUGGACUUGGGUGUGGGACAGAACGUUACAUCCUGCAGAUGAUUCACUAAACUCCAGGCCACAGGCUCAGCCACCACCAGCUGUGUACACUUGUCCCUUUGACACAUCUAACCCUGGAGUGUCAUUGCAUAAUCCUCUUGUCUUGCAAUGUCAGUGGUUUCUGAACAAAUGUACCACAUAAUGAAUUGAAUGUAUGGUCCCGACUGCAUACACAUUGGAACCUUGUCAAUCAGUGAAGAAUAAAAUUGACCUUCAUGAA
Salvelinus namaycush (lake trout) is the source of this 931-nucleotide long non-coding RNA. RefSeq lists it as uncharacterized. NCBI's taxonomy places the organism in Eukaryota, Metazoa, Chordata, Actinopteri, Salmoniformes, Salmonidae. The transcript has 10 exons. The record is from RefSeq and is a predicted model, not a curated record.